Pteronotus mesoamericanus is the source of this 210-nucleotide small nucleolar RNA. RefSeq annotates it as small nucleolar RNA SNORA73 family. The transcript has a single exon. The record is from RefSeq and is a predicted model, not a curated record. Lineage: Eukaryota; Metazoa; Chordata; Mammalia; Chiroptera; Mormoopidae.
CCAAUGUGGGUACCCCCAGGAGGUCAGGUCACUCCUCUCAGGGGUCUGUCCAAGUGGCGCAGAGAAGCAUAGGGCUCUGCCCCAUGAUGUACAGUCCUUUCCACAAUGUUGGAGAGAAAGCUGGGCCUUCAUUGUGUGCUUUCAUAUUCCUACAGCUUCUCAGAGUCCUGUGGACAAUGACUGAGGAGACAAGGCAUGCAGGAAACAUCU